CCUACGGGAGGCUGCAGUGAGGAAUAUUGGUCAAUGGACGAGAGUCUGAACCAGCCAAGUAGCGUGAAGGAUGACUGCCCUAUGGGUUGUAAACUUCUUUUAUAAAGGAAUAAAACGAGGCACGUGUGCCUUUUUGCAUGUACUUUAUGAAUAAGGAUCGGCUAACUCCGUGCCAGCAGCCGCGGUAAUACGGAGGAUCCGAGCGUUAUCCGGAUUUAUUGGGUUUAAAGGGAGCGUAGAUGGGUUGUUAAGUCAGUUGUGAAAGUUUGCGGCUCAACCGUAAAAUUGCAAUUGAUACUGGCAGUCUUGAGUACAGAUGAGGUAGGCGGAAUUCGUGGUGUAGCGGUGAAAUGCUUAGAUAUCACGAAGAACCCCGAUUGCGAAGGCAGCUUACCAAACUGUGACUGACAUUGAUGCACGAAAGUGUGGGUAUCAAACAGGAUUAGAUACCCCUGUAGUC
RNAcentral lists this ribosomal RNA (460 nucleotides) under uncultured bacterium. RNAcentral describes it as "partial 16S ribosomal RNA". It matches the Rfam family "Bacterial small subunit ribosomal RNA", at positions 338 to 795 of the family's 1533-position model. The record is from RNAcentral.